GAGCGGGGACCACCCCGUAAGGCUAAAUACUUCUUAGUGACCGAUAGCGCAUAGUACUGUGAAGGAAAGGUGAAAAGUACCCCGGGAGGGGAGUGAAAGAGAACCUGAAACCCUGUGUCUACAAGCUGUGGGACCUCUUUAUAUGAGGGACUGCGUACUUUUUGUAGAACGGUCCGGCGAGUUGUGCGUACUGGCGAGGUUAAGGACUUAAGGUCUGGAGCCGAAGUGAAAGCAAGCGUUAAUAGCGCGUCAAGUCAGUGAGUGCAGACCCGAAACCGGGUGACCUAUCCAUGUCCAGGUUGAAGCUUCCGUAAGAGGAAGUGGAGGACCGAACCCACAUCCGUUGAAAAGGGUGGGGAUGAGGUGUGGAUAGCGGAGAAAUUCCAAUCGAACCCGGAGAUAGCUGGUUCUCCUCGAAAUAGCUUUAGGGCUAGCCUCAUGAGAGUCUUAUGGAGGUAGAGCACUGAAUUGCCUAGGGGGCGUCAAAGCUUACCAAAGCAUAUCAAACUCCGAAUGCCAUCAAGAUGAUUCAUGGGAGUCAGACCAUACGAGAUAAGUUGGAUGGUCAAAAGGGAAAGAGCCCAGACCUACAGCUAAGGUCCCAAAGUACGUGUUAAGUGGAAAAGGAUGUGGGGAUUCUAAGACAACUAGGACGUUGGCUUAGAAGCAGCCAUUCAUUGAAAGAGUGCGUAAUAGCUCACUAGUCGAGAGUCCCUGCGCCGAAAAUGUCCGGGGCUGAAACACGACACCGAAGCUUAGGAAUGUGUAAACAUUGGUAGAGGAGCAUUGCUGGCGGGAUGAAGCCAUACCGUAAGGAGUGGUGGACUGCUAGGAAGAGAGAAUGCCGGAAUGAGUAGCGAGAUGAAGGUGAGAAUCCUUCAGGCCGAAUAUCUAAGGUUUCCAGAGUAAAGCUGAUCUGCUCUGGGUAAGUCGGGACCUAAGGCGAGGUCGAAAGACGUAGUCGAUGGAUAACAGGUUGAAAUUCCUGUACCGCAUAUAAACAGAACUGUGGGGACACAGACAGGGAAUGGAAUCCGGGAAUGGAGAUCCCGGUGCAAGCGAGGUAGGAGUGCUGUUGGCAAAUCCGCAGCACGAUCUGAAGACGUGACGCGUACCGAACAUAAGUAGGGAAGUCCAGGCCCCUGGCUGUCAAGAAAAGCCGCUAUUGUUUUAUAUGUGCCCGUACCGCAAACCGACACAGGUGGAUGAGGAGAGAAUCCUAAGGCCGACGGGAGAAGUAUUGUUAAGGAACUCGGCAAAAUGACUCCGUAACUUCGGGAGAAGGAGUGCCAUGAGAGUGGCCGCAGAGAAAUGGCCCAAGCAACUGUUUAGCAAAAACACAGGUCUAUGCAAAACCGCAAGGUGAAGUAUAUGGGCUGACGCCUGCCCGGUGCUGGAAGGUUAAGGGGAGAGGUUAGCGCAAGCGAAGCUUUGAACUUAAGCCCCAGUAAACGGCGGCCGUAACUAUAACGGUCCUAAGGUAGCGAAAUUCCUUGUCGGGUAAGUUCCGACCCGCACGAAAGGCGUAAUGAUUUGGGCACUGUCUCAACGAUACACCCGGUGAAAUUGAAAUACCAGUGAAGAUGCUGGUUACCUGCGCCAGGACGGAAAGACCCCAUGGAGCUUUACUCCAGUUUGAUACUGGGAUUCGGCAUGGUAUGUACAGGAUAGGUGGGAGACUGAGAAGGUAUGACGUCAGUUGUACCGGAG
RNAcentral lists this ribosomal RNA (1710 nucleotides) under human gut metagenome. Its description in RNAcentral is "bacterial LSU rRNA". It matches the Rfam family "Bacterial large subunit ribosomal RNA", at positions 440 to 2185 of the family's 2925-position model. The record is from RNAcentral.